This 429-nucleotide ribosomal RNA is filed under the name Bacillota bacterium. Its description in RNAcentral is "Firmicutes bacterium partial 16S ribosomal RNA". It matches the Rfam family "Bacterial small subunit ribosomal RNA", at positions 355 to 776 of the family's 1533-position model. The record is from RNAcentral. Lineage: Bacteria; Bacillati; Bacillota.
UAGGGAAUCUUCCACAAUGGACGCAAGCCUGAUCGAGCAACGCCGCGUGAGUGAAGAAGGUUUUCGGAUCGUAAAGCUCUGUUGUUUGUGAAGAAGGAUAGAGGCAGUAACUGGUCUUUAUUUGACGGUAAUCAACCAGAAAGUCACGGCUAACUACGUGCCAGCAGCCGCGGUAAUACGUAGGUUGCAAGCGUUAUCCGGAUUUAUUGGGCGUAAAGCGAGCGCAGGCGGAAUGGUAAGUCUGAUGUGAAAGCCCACGGCUCAACCGGGGAACUGCAUAGGAAACUGUCAUUCUUGAGUGCAGAAGAGGGGAGUGGAAUUCCAUGUGUAGCGGUGAAAUGCGUAGAUAUAUGGAAGAACACCAGUGGCGAAGGCAGCUCUAUGGUCUGCAACUGACGCUGAGGCACGAAAGCAUGGGUAGCGAACAGG